UGUCACCUUGUCUAGGCCCCUGGUUUGUUAAAACCAUAUUUCUAAUUAUAAUGGCAGUUGUAACAAAUAAUUUCAACUACCUUCCCACGUCCAAACUGUGAACUGUCACUUGUAAAGUGAUUUUAUCAGUAUUGUGUGAGACGGUGAGAUUGUAAUAAUAAGAGACCGUCCGCCGUGGACCGUCGCGUCGCAUAAUCAACACGUAGACUUUUUAGAUAGUAUGUUUGUGAUAAUCACAGAAGCUAUCAUCUGUACAGAUGUAGUGCAUAAUUUAGCGGGUAAUUUGUAAGUGAAAAGCUAUAUUUUGUUAUUGUAAAACGAAAUGCGCCCUCUAGUUUGCCAUACCGCAAUCCUUUCGUGCUCCCAGCCCGUAUCGUUUCUGUAGCGUGUUGCGAUUAACGAUGGAAUAUUUUGCAAUAUAUUAAUAUAAUUUUUUUAUUCACUAAGUGAUCGUAAAAUAGAGCUGUAUAUUAUCCAGAUGUUAAAUAUUAUUAUUUCUUUCUUAAUGUUUGAACUAAGCAUGUAAAAUUUAAAAUAAUAAUAUAGAAUAAAAGAUGUUAUGAUAAUUAAUUACAUAAAAUCUUCGUUUGAA
Long non-coding RNA from Cydia amplana, 592 nucleotides. RefSeq lists it as uncharacterized. NCBI's taxonomy places the organism in Eukaryota, Metazoa, Arthropoda, Insecta, Lepidoptera, Tortricidae. The record is from RefSeq and is a predicted model, not a curated record. The transcript is spliced from 2 exons.